CUUUGAGCAAAGAUGGACCUUUCAGCCUGUGGCGGAUGAAGGCUAUUUCCCUCAACCAAAUUCAGCCGUUUCACAUGAUCAAAAUUUGGCAUUAAUUUCACCAGUUACUGAUCAGGAGAUUAGUAAGGCUCUUAGUACUAUGAAUACCGAUAAAGCCCGAGGACCUCAUGGAUUUCAAGUUUUAUUUUUUAAGGAAUUUUGGCCUAUUAUCACUACGAUGUUCUUAAAGCUGUUCAUUAUUUCUUUCAGCAGUUCUCCAUGCC
This 263-nucleotide long non-coding RNA is filed under the name Elaeis guineensis (African oil palm). RNAcentral's name for it is "long non-coding RNA (EGUI_LNC016882)". Lineage: Eukaryota; Viridiplantae; Streptophyta; Magnoliopsida; Arecales; Arecaceae. The record is from RNAcentral.